ACUAACCUAUGACCUUUUGUUAUGAUGCAGGGAGACAUUCCUGUGUCCAAUGAACAAUGAGAUUAUAGGUCCCUUUGUAGUGUACUGUACGCAGUGUAUAUAAGAUCAGCCAGCCUGGGCAGCUCUCUCACUCUCCACAAACAGUUUUCAUAUUGACUAACUUGGAGCUGUUACCAGAAAGCUGCGCAGCGAUCAUUCCCAGUGUGUAUGAGAUUUUCUAUGUGGAGCUCUAAAGAAUAGAAUGACGUUGCAUUAUCACUCACUAUGCUGCCACGAUGCCGGAGGGCUGUUUUGGCAUGUGGUGGUGACAUAUUGUGCUAUUUCAUAGGCAUGAUUGAGACAGAAGUUAAUGGCAGAGCAUACCAAAUACCAGGACACAUGCAUUGGGCAGUCGGCAGACUCGGAAGAUGUGCGUAGAUGAAAAGCUCUAUCCUGUUCAUUUCUAAGAACCUGCGUCUCUUCAUGUGCGGUUGUACUUUUAUAGAUGGACAUGUGCAGCAAAAUGUAUCCUUAGCUAGAUCUGUAUAUCUGGUAGACUAGGAUCCCCUUCUCAAUGUGAGGCGGAAUAGGGUCUGGUAGUGGUCAGCGGAGUACAGUGAGCGCGUGCUCCCCUAAGUGUAGUGCGUUAUGUGAUGAUAACUAUCAGUAGCACGUUCGUCUUACUUCUGAUUGGCUGCUUGAGUACUGAUCUUGCCAGCUGAUAUUACUGAAUAUACUUACGUCUCAGCUACAUGACACCUAGUCAGGCCCAUCUAAUUGCAUUAGUUAUAUGUCUCUUCCAUUAGGACUGUUGAAGUAAAUAAGGUUCUCAUUAAAUGUAAUGUACAGGAAUAAAGAACAGAUGUUUGUA
Molecule: long non-coding RNA, 850 nt
Organism: Pseudophryne corroboree (corroboree frog)
Lineage: Eukaryota; Metazoa; Chordata; Amphibia; Anura; Myobatrachidae
Exons: 4
Source: RefSeq, a predicted model, not a curated record